AAAUGAGAGAAAAAAACAAACAAACAAAAAUCGUAGAAUUGUUCCUGUUUUGUCGAUUGUCAUGUUCCUCUAGCUGUGUUAGUUUUAUACCAUAACAGUGCUUAACUAGGAUGCCCAAGAUGACGAAGACAGAUCGCUGCCACACAUCGACCAUGGUUUCCAUUCCAAACUACCACCAGGAAGUCUACCACAUGGUUUGCCCACUGUGAAGGAAGUUGCAUCAGCCAUAACACCACUUGAACACAAAAAAGAAUAUGAAGAGAAAAAUAGAUUAAGGAACUAUCGGAAGAACAAAAACAGAUGAUCGUCUUGUCGGAGGACUUUCAGAGGUUUGUUCUACGCGCUAGACGUGUCAUCGAAAGGGCUAUAUCUGAGAAUGUCGACAUCUACACAGACUACAUUGAAGGUGGUGAUAAUGAAGAGUCAAAGGAUGAGAGGACACGUGCCAGGUUGUCAUUAAAUCGAGAUUUCUACGAAGACCGAUGGUCUAAGAAUCGAUGCAUGACUUAAAUGGAUUAGUCAACACAUUUUCCUGAACUGGUUGUUGCUUUAUAUCACAAUAAUGAGGAGAGUCCCAAUGAACCAGAUGGUGUUGUAAUG
Episyrphus balteatus (marmalade hoverfly) is the source of this 600-nucleotide long non-coding RNA. RefSeq lists it as uncharacterized. The record is from RefSeq and is a predicted model, not a curated record. Lineage: Eukaryota; Metazoa; Arthropoda; Insecta; Diptera; Syrphidae. The transcript is spliced from 3 exons.